GUGCCAGCAGCCGCGGUAAUACCGGCAGCUCAAGUGAUGUCCCAUAUUAUUGGGCCUAAAGCGUCCGUAGCCGGCCUCGCAAGUCCGUCGGGAAAUCCAGUAGCUCAACUACUGGGCGUCCGGCGGAAACUACAAGGCUUGGGACCGGAAGGCUCGAGGGGUACGUCCGGGGUAGGAGUGAAAUCCCAUAAUCCCGCACGGACCACCGAUGGCGAAAGCACUUCGAGAAAACGGAUCCGACAGUGAGGGACGAAAGCCAGGGUCUCCAACCGGAUUAGAAACCCCGGUAGCC
Molecule: ribosomal RNA, 292 nt
Filed under: uncultured bacterium
Lineage: Bacteria
Description: partial 16S ribosomal RNA
Rfam family: Archaeal small subunit ribosomal RNA
Source: RNAcentral